Molecule: RNA transcript, 2572 nt
Organism: Dama dama (fallow deer)
Lineage: Eukaryota; Metazoa; Chordata; Mammalia; Artiodactyla; Cervidae
Gene: GSK3B
Gene name: glycogen synthase kinase 3 beta
Exons: 14
Source: RefSeq, a predicted model, not a curated record
GACGCAUCUCCGAGCCACCCCUCCCUCUCCCUCCCUCCUUCCCAUCCCCCCUUCUUUUCAAGCGUGAGACUCGUGAUCCUUCCGCCGCUUCCCUUCUUCAUUGACUCGGAAAAAAAAUCCCCGAGGAAAAUAUAAUAUUCAGAGUACUUAUUUUCAAUCCAGUAUUUGUCCCCGUUUCACGUGAUAUAUAUUUUUUAGGACCUCCCACCCAUUUCUGCUCUCCAAGGAAAGGGAGGGGAAAGAAUUGUAUUUUUCCCCCCAGCCCCGGAUCGUCUAUAUGUUAAAUAUCCGUACUGAUCUGUCUUCAAGGAGAAAUACAUCGCUCGCUUUUUUUAAUAGCUGUACAAAAGAAGUGAAAAGGCAAGAGGACGAAGUCUUUUUCUUUUUCUUGUGGGAGAACUUAAUGCUGCAUUUAUCGUUAACCUAACACCCCAACAUAAAACAAAAGGAAGAAAAGGAGGAAGGAAGGAAAAAAGGUGAAUCGGAAAAAGAGUGAUCAUGUCAGGGCGGCCCAGAACCACCUCCUUUGCGGAGAGCUGCAAGCCAGUGCAGCAGCCUUCAGCUUUUGGCAGCAUGAAAGUUAGCAGAGACAAAGAUGGCAGCAAGGUGACCACAGUGGUGGCAACUCCUGGGCAGGGUCCAGACAGGCCGCAAGAAGUCAGCUAUACAGACACUAAAGUGAUUGGAAAUGGGUCAUUUGGUGUGGUGUAUCAAGCCAAACUUUGUGAUUCAGGAGAACUGGUUGCCAUCAAGAAAGUAUUACAGGACAAGAGAUUUAAGAACCGAGAGCUCCAGAUCAUGAGAAAGCUAGAUCACUGUAACAUAGUCCGAUUGCGUUAUUUCUUCUACUCAAGUGGUGAAAAGAAAGAUGAGGUCUAUCUUAAUCUGGUGCUGGACUAUGUUCCGGAAACAGUCUACAGAGUUGCCAGACACUAUAGUCGAGCCAAACAGACGCUCCCUGUGAUCUAUGUCAAGUUGUAUAUGUAUCAGCUGUUCCGAAGUUUAGCCUAUAUCCAUUCCUUUGGAAUCUGCCAUCGGGAUAUUAAACCACAGAACCUCUUGUUGGAUCCUGAUACAGCUGUCUUGAAACUCUGUGACUUUGGAAGUGCAAAGCAGCUGGUCCGUGGAGAACCCAAUGUUUCGUAUAUCUGUUCUCGGUACUAUAGGGCACCAGAGUUGAUCUUUGGAGCCACUGAUUAUACCUCUAGUAUAGAUGUAUGGUCUGCAGGCUGUGUGUUGGCUGAGCUAUUGCUAGGACAGCCAAUAUUUCCAGGAGACAGUGGUGUGGAUCAAUUGGUGGAAAUAAUCAAGGUCCUGGGGACACCAACAAGGGAGCAAAUUAGAGAAAUGAACCCAAACUACACGGAAUUCAAAUUCCCUCAAAUUAAGGCACACCCUUGGACUAAGGAUUCGUCAGGAACAGGACAUUUCACCUCAGGAGUGCGGGUCUUCCGACCCCGAACUCCACCCGAGGCGAUUGCACUGUGCAGCCGUCUGCUGGAGUAUACACCAACUGCCCGGCUGACACCGCUGGAAGCUUGUGCACAUUCAUUUUUUGAUGAAUUACGGGACCCAAAUGUCAAACUACCAAAUGGGCGAGACACACCUGCACUCUUCAACUUCACCACUCAAGAACUGUCAAGUAAUCCACCUCUAGCUACCAUCCUUAUUCCUCCUCAUGCUCGGAUUCAAGCAGCUGCUUCAACUCCUUCAAAUACCACAGCAGCCUCAGAUGGACAUCCCAUCUCCACCCAAGCAGGGAGGAAGUGAAUGCCUGCCAACAUGACAAAGCAUUUCCAGGUCUACUCCAAGGUUGAAAACCCUUCUAACAGAAAAGGGAAUCAUGAUAAGAGUUGGACAAGAUGCUAAUGCUGGAGACCGUGGACAGACCAAUAACGCCGCUUCUGCAUCAGCUUCCGACUCCUCCUGAACAGUCCCGAGCAGCCAGCUGCACAGGAACAACCACCAGUUUACUUGAGUGUCACUCAGCAACACUGGUCACAAUUGGAAAGAAAAUUAAAAAGAGAAAAAAAAAACCUAUUCAUUUUAGUGUUCAAUUUUUUUAAUUAUUAUUGUUGUUCUUAUUUAACCUUGUAAAAUAUCUAUAAAUACAAACCAGUUUCAUUGUAUUCUCACUUGAGGGAGAUCCAGGGGUGGGAGGGGUUGUGGGGAGGGGGAAAGCGGAGCACUAGAACACACAGUCUCUCCCCCACGACAAUCUUUUUUUAUCAAAAAGUCUGCUGUUGUAUACUUUAAAAACAGGACUCCUGCCUCAUGCCCCUUCCACAAAAGAAGACGACUUUGUUCUGUGCUGAGGUUUUUUUGAACUUUGUUUUCUUUUAAAGUCAAGUGUAAGACUUGGGUAUAGUGCACAGCUUGAAAUUGGUUGGGAGCUUAGCAGGUGUAACUCAAUGGGGACUUAAAUGUCACUUGUAAAAUUAAUCCAUAUCCUCGGGUACUUGAAGACUUGCCUUUAGCUUGUCAAUGGCAGGUGUGGCAGACAAAGGAAAUGUGUGUCAUUUGUAACCCGGGAGGUCAAUAAAGUUUGAAUCUAUAAGGGGAAAAUUCUUAA